UGAUAAAAAUUACUCCAAGCUUGUGCUCC
This 29-nucleotide non-coding RNA is filed under the name Rattus norvegicus (Norway rat). The record is from RNAcentral. Lineage: Eukaryota; Metazoa; Chordata; Mammalia; Rodentia; Muridae.